This 425-nucleotide ribosomal RNA is filed under the name uncultured bacterium. RNAcentral describes it as "partial 16S ribosomal RNA". It matches the Rfam family "Bacterial small subunit ribosomal RNA", at positions 354 to 796 of the family's 1533-position model. The record is from RNAcentral.
GUGGGGAAUCUUAGACAAUGGGCGCAAGCCUGAUCUAGCCAUGCCGCGUGAACGAUGAAGGCCUUCGGGUCGUAAAGUUCUUUAGCCGAUGAUUAUAAUGAAUGUAGUCGGAAAAUAAGCCCCGGCUAACUUCGUGCCAGCAGCCGCGGUAAUACGAAGGGGGCGAGCGUUAUUCGGAAUCACUGGGCGUAAAGCGUGCGUAGGCGGUUUUGUAAGUUAGGAGUGAAAGCCCAGGGCUCAACCUUGGAAUUGCUCUUAAAACUGCAAGGAUCGAAUGUCGGAGAGGAUAGCGGAAUUUCCAGUGUAGCAGUGAAAUGCGUAGAUAUUGGAAGGAACACCAGUGGCGUAAGCGGCUAUCUGGACGAGUAUUGACGCUGAGGCACGAAAGCGUGGGGAUCAAACAGGAUUAGAAACCCCUGUAGUCC